GACGAACGCUGGCGGCGUGCUUAACACAUGCAAGUCGAACGGAAAGGCCCUGCUUUUGUGGGGUGCUCGAGUGGCGAACGGGUGAGUAACACGUGAGUAACCUGCCCUUGACUUUGGGAUAACUUCAGGAAACUGGGGCUAAUACCGGAUAGGAGCUCCUGCUGCAUGGUGGGGGUUGGAAAGUUUCGGCGGUUGGGGAUGGACUCGCGGCUUAUCAGCUUGUUGGUGGGGUAGUGGCUUACCAAGGCUUUGACGGGUAGCCGGCCUGAGAGGGUGACCGGCCACAUUGGGACUGAGAUACGGCCCAGACUCCUACGGGAGGCAGCAGUGGGGAAUAUUGCACAAUGGGCGGAAGCCUGAUGCAGCAACGCCGCGUGCGGGAUGACGGCCUUCGGGUUGUAAACCGAUUUAGACUGUGACGAAGCGUGAGUGACGGUAAUGGGUAAAGAAGCACCGGCUAACUACGUG
Molecule: ribosomal RNA, 468 nt
Filed under: uncultured bacterium
Lineage: Bacteria
Description: partial 16S ribosomal RNA
Rfam family: Bacterial small subunit ribosomal RNA
Source: RNAcentral